AACGAACGCUGGCGGCAUGCUUAACACAUGCCAGUCGAACGAGACCUUCGGGUCUAGUGGCGCACGGGUGCGUAACGCGUGGGAACCUGCCCUUAGGUUCGGAAUAACUCCCCGAAAGGGGUGCUAAUACCGGAUAAUGUCUUCGGACCAAAGAUUUAUCGCCUUUGGAUGGGCCCGCGUUGGAUUAGCUAGUUGGUAGGGUAAAAGCCUACCAAGGCGACGAUCCAUAGCUGGUCUGAGAGGAUGAUCAGCCACACUGGGACUGAGACACGGCCCAGACUCCUACGGGAGGCAGCAGUGGGGAAUAUUGGACAAUGGGCGAAAGCCUGAUCCAGCAAUGCCGCGUGAGUGAUGAAGGCCUUAGGGUUGUAAAGCUCUUUUACCCGGGAUGAUAAUGACAGUACCGGGAGAAUAAGCUCCGGCUAACUCCGUG
This 433-nucleotide ribosomal RNA is filed under the name uncultured bacterium. Its description in RNAcentral is "partial 16S ribosomal RNA". It matches the Rfam family "Bacterial small subunit ribosomal RNA", at positions 29 to 507 of the family's 1533-position model. The record is from RNAcentral.